This 211-nucleotide unclassified non-coding RNA is filed under the name plant metagenome. RNAcentral's name for it is "partial contains small subunit ribosomal RNA, internal transcribed spacer 1, and 5.8S ribosomal RNA". The record is from RNAcentral.
UUUCCGUAGGUGAACCUGCGGAAGGAUCAUUCAUAAUAAAGAGUUUUAUGGCACUUUUUAAAAAUCCAUAUCCACCUUGUGUGCAAUGUUAGAUCUCGUCAAUCUUGGCGAGAUUUUUAUACAUCAACUCAUUCUUUAACUAAUUUGUCUGAAAAAUAUUAUGAAUACUUAAUUCAAAAUACAACUUUCAACAACGGAUCUCUUGGCUCUC